CCCCUUUUAAAAGCACUCCUUGGGCCUCUUGCUAAGGACCCAAUGAGCUGUCAAGAAAGGGCAAAGUUAAAACACCACUUUUGGGUGAAGCAGCAGCAUGUUGUGUUGUUUUGCUUCCAUCAGUGAUAUGACAAGG
Molossus molossus (Pallas's mastiff bat) is the source of this 136-nucleotide small nucleolar RNA. Lineage: Eukaryota; Metazoa; Chordata; Mammalia; Chiroptera; Molossidae. The record is from RefSeq and is a predicted model, not a curated record.